RNAcentral lists this ribosomal RNA (468 nucleotides) under uncultured bacterium. RNAcentral describes it as "partial 16S ribosomal RNA". It matches the Rfam family "Bacterial small subunit ribosomal RNA", at positions 28 to 507 of the family's 1533-position model. The record is from RNAcentral.
GACGAACGCUGGCGGCGUGCUUAACACAUGCAAGUCGAACGGAAAGGCCCUGCUUUUGCGGGGUGCUCGAGUGGCGAACGGGUGAGUAACACGCGAGUAACCUGCCCUUGACUUUGGGAUAACUUCAGGAAACUGGGGCUAAUACCGGAUAGGAGCUCCUGCUGCAUGGUGGGGGUUGGAAAGAUCCGGCGGUUGGGGAUGGUAUCGCGGCUUAUGAGCUUGUUGGUGGGGUAGUGGCUUACCAAGGUUUUGACGGGUAGCCGGCCUGGGAGGUUGAACGGCCACAUGGGGCCUGAGAGACGGCGCAGACGCCUACGGGAGGCAGCAGUGGGGAAUAUUGCACAAUGGGCGGAAGCCUGAUGCAGCAACGCCGCGUGCGGGAUGACGGCCUACGGGUUGUAAACCGCUUUCGCCUGUGACGAAGCGUGAGUGACGGUAAUGGGUAAAGAAGCACCGGCUAACUACGUG